GGCGUAGGCGGAAAUAUAAGUCAGCCGUGAAAUCCCGGGGCUCAACCCCGGAACUGCGUUUGAAACUAUAUUUCUUGAGGCAAGGCGGAAGAAAAACGGAAUUCCACAAGUAGCGGUGAAAUGCGUAGAUAUGUGGAAGAACACCAGUGGCGAAGGCGGUUUUCUAGCUUUGACCUGACGCUGAUGCCCGAAAGCUAGGGGAGCGAACA
This 209-nucleotide ribosomal RNA is filed under the name uncultured bacterium. RNAcentral describes it as "partial 16S ribosomal RNA". It matches the Rfam family "Bacterial small subunit ribosomal RNA", at positions 568 to 774 of the family's 1533-position model. The record is from RNAcentral.